AUACGGAGGAUCCGAGCGUUAUCCGGAUUUAUUGGGUUUAAAGGGUGCGCAGGCGGCCAUUUAAGUCAGCGGUUAAAUCGUGGGGCUCAACCCCAUUCUGCCGUUGAUACUGGGUGGCUUGAUUGCGGUCGAGGUUGGCGGAAUUCGUUGUGUAGCGGUGAAAUGCAUAGAUAUGACGAAGAACACCGAUUGCGUAGGUAGCUGACCAGACCGCAAAUGACGCUCAUGCACGAAAGUGCGGGGAUCGAACAGGAUUAGAUACCCUGGUAGUCCGCACAGUAAACGAUGAAUACUUGUUUUCGGCGAUAUAAUGUCGGAGGCAAAGCGAAAGCGAUAAGUAUUCCACCUGGGGAGUACGCCGGCAACGGUGAAACUCAAAGGAAUUGGCGGGG
Molecule: ribosomal RNA, 392 nt
Filed under: uncultured bacterium
Lineage: Bacteria
Description: partial 16S ribosomal RNA
Rfam family: Bacterial small subunit ribosomal RNA
Source: RNAcentral